This is a long non-coding RNA of Bos taurus (domestic cattle), 799 nucleotides long. NCBI's taxonomy places the organism in Eukaryota, Metazoa, Chordata, Mammalia, Artiodactyla, Bovidae. The record is from Ensembl.
ACCUGCUGGAGACUUCCCUGAGAACUGCAUUUAGGAUCUGGCCCAGAGCCGCAAAAAGGGAAGCAGCAUCCUUGCCAGUUCCUAGACUGUCCUUCAAGGCUCAGUGCAAAGGGAAGAGGCUGGGGUUGGGCAUCCACAGACCUAAGUGAGUGUGCUGGCUCACCUUCCCGCCGCCCCUUUGACUUGAACAAGGUAUGCCCUUGUUCUUCCCCGAGCCCCACUUUCCUUCUCUCCAAAAUCAAGAUUUAAUGAUUUCCAAGGUUCUCAUUGGGCUUCCUUGGUGGCUCAAUGGUAAAGAAUCUGCCUGCAAUGCUGGAGAAAUGGGUUCAAUUACUGGGUUGGAAAGAUUCGCUGGAGAAGGAAAUAGCAAUCCGCACCAGUAUUCUUGCCUGGAAAAUCGCAUGGACAGAGGAGUCUGGAAGGCUACAGUCCAUGGGGUUGCAAAAGAGUCAGACAUGACUGAGCAACUAAACAACAAAACAACAGAGCUUAUUAGCUCCGAGGAUUCUGUUCACCCUAUUCCUGCUACUAUUCCCAUCCAGUGGACAACAUCUAAGUGGACAUACUCUUGCUGGCCCAGAUAUCUGCUUUUGCAAAUGCUACCAGGAUUUGGUGUGCCUUCUAUUCAACUUUUUUCACUUUAAGUCUGAAGUUUGCAAUAAGGAGUUCAUGAUCUGAGUCAUGGUCAGCUCCCAGUCUUGUUUUUGCUGACUGUAUAGAGCUUCUCCAUCUUUGGCUGCCAAGAAUAUAAUCAAUCUGAUUUCAGUACUGACCAUCUGCUGAUGUCCAUGUAUAGAGU